This 493-nucleotide ribosomal RNA is filed under the name uncultured Sphingobacteriales bacterium. RNAcentral describes it as "bacterial SSU rRNA". It matches the Rfam family "Bacterial small subunit ribosomal RNA", at positions 904 to 1382 of the family's 1533-position model. The record is from RNAcentral. Lineage: Bacteria; Pseudomonadati; Bacteroidota; Sphingobacteriia; Sphingobacteriales.
CCAGCCCGCUCAGAAACUCAAGGAAUUGACGGGGCCCGCACAAGCGGUGGAGCAUGUGGUUUAAUCGAUGAUACGCGAGGAACCUUACCUGGGCUCAAAUGUAUGUUGACGUAUUCUGAAAGGGAUACUUCUUCGGACAAUAUACAAGGUGCUGCAUGGUUGUCGUCAGCUCGUGCCGUGAGGUGUCGGGUUAAGUCCCAUAACGAGCGCAACCCCUAUCAUUAGUUGCCAUCAGGUCAAGCUGGGGACUCUAAUGAAACUGCCUACGCAAGUAGUGAGGAAGGUGGGGAUGACGUCAAAUCAGCACGGCCCUUACGUCCAGGGCUACACACGUGCUACAAUGGCCGGUACAAAGGGCAGCUACCUGGUGACAGGAUGCUAAUCUCAAAAGCCGGUCUCAGUUCGGAUCGGAGUCUGCAACCCGACUCCGUGAAGCUGGAAUCGCUAGUAAUCGCGCAUCAGCCAUGGCGCGGUGAAUACGUUCCCGGGCCUU